RNAcentral lists this ribosomal RNA (270 nucleotides) under uncultured bacterium. RNAcentral describes it as "partial 16S ribosomal RNA". It matches the Rfam family "Bacterial small subunit ribosomal RNA", at positions 333 to 620 of the family's 1533-position model. The record is from RNAcentral.
GUAUACCUACGGGGGGCAGCAGUGGGGAAUAUUGCACAAUGGGGGAAACCCUGAUGCAGCGACGCCGCGUGAAGGAAGAAGUAUUUCGGUAUGUAAACUUCUAUCAGCAGGGAAGAAAAUGACGGUACCUGACUAAGAAGCCCCGGCUAACUACGUGCCAGCAGCCGCGGUAAUACGUAGGGAGCAAGCGUUAUCCGGAUUUAUUGGGUGUAAAGGGAGCGUAGACGGGAAAUUAAGUUAGUUGUGAAAUCCCUCGGCUCAACUGAGGAA